GAUGAACGCUGGCGGCGUGCCUAAUACAUGCAAGUCGAGCGGACGGACGCGAAUCUUGCGUCUCUCACGUUAGCCGCGGGCGUGUGUGUCACACGUGUAUCCCCCCCCUAUCUUUCUGGUAUCUCUUCGAAACUCCGGCGAUUAUCCCAGAUGAUCUCUUGCUCCGUAUUGUUCAAUGGUGAGUGACGGUCUUGCUGUCUGUUAUCGCUGGUUCCCCGCUGCAUUGGCUAGUUGUUAAGGUAACGGCUUACCAAGGCAACGCUGCAUAGCCGACCUGAGAGGGUGGUCGGCCACACUGGAACUGAGACACGGUCCAGACUCCUACGGGAGGCAGCAGUAGGGAAUCGUGCGCAAUGGGCGAAAGCCUGACGGAGCAACGCCGCGGGAGGGAGGAAGGUCUUCGGAUCGGAAAACUCUGUUAUUAGGGAAGAACAUAUGUGUAAGUAACAGGGCACAUCUGGACGGGACCUAAGCAGAAAGCCACGGCUAACUACGUG
This 497-nucleotide ribosomal RNA is filed under the name uncultured bacterium. RNAcentral's name for it is "partial 16S ribosomal RNA". It matches the Rfam family "Bacterial small subunit ribosomal RNA", at positions 28 to 507 of the family's 1533-position model. The record is from RNAcentral.